GAUGAACGCUGGCGGCGUGCCUAAUACAUGCCAGUAGAACGCUGAAGGAGGAGCUUGCUCUUCUGGAUGAGUUGCGAACGGGUGAGUAACGCGUAGGUAACCUGCCUGGUAGCGGGGGAUAACUAUUGGAAACGAUAGCUAAUACCGCAUGACAACAGUUAUUGCAUGAUAACUGUUUAAAAGGGGCAACUGCUCCACUACCAGAUGGACCUGCGUUGUAUUAGCUAGUUGGUGAGGUAACGGCUCACCAAGGCGACGAUACAUAGCCGACCUGAGAGGGGGAUCGGCCACAAUGGGACUGAGACACGGCCCAGACUCCUACGGGAGGCAGCAGUAGGGAAUCUUCGGCAAUGGACGGAAGGCUGACCGAGCAACGCCGCGUGAGUGAAGAAGGGUUUCGGAUCGUAAAGCUCUGUUGUAAGAGAAGAACGAGUGUGAGAGUGGAAAGUUCACACUGUGACGGUAUCUUACCAGAAAGGGACGGCUAACUACGUG
RNAcentral lists this ribosomal RNA (495 nucleotides) under uncultured bacterium. RNAcentral's name for it is "partial 16S ribosomal RNA". It matches the Rfam family "Bacterial small subunit ribosomal RNA", at positions 28 to 507 of the family's 1533-position model. The record is from RNAcentral.